GACAUGAGUAACGAUAAAGGGGGUGAAAAACCUCCUCGCCGGAAGACCAAGGGUUCCUGUCCAACGUUAAUCGGGGCAGGGUAAGUCGACCCCUAAGGCGAGGCCGAAAGGCGUAGUCGAUGGGAAACGGGUUAAUAUUCCCGUACUUCUUACAAUUGCGAUGGGGGGACGGAGAAGGCUAGGUGGGCCUGGCGACGGUUGUCCAGGUUCAAGUGCGUAGGCUGAAGAGUUAGGUAAAUCCGGCUCUUUCUAAGGCUGAGACACGACGUCGAGCACCUACGGGUGUGAAGUCAUUGAUGCCAUGCUUCCAGGAAAAGCCUCUAAGCUUCAGAUUGUAAGGAAUCGUACCCCAAACCGACACAGGUGGUCGGGUAGAGAAUACCAAGGCGCUUGAGAGAACUCGGGUGAAGGAACUAGGCAAAAUGGUACCGUAACUUCGGGAGAAGGUACGCUCUCGACGGUGAAGUCCCUCGCGGAUGGAGCUAUUGAGAGUCGCAGAUACCAGGUGGC
Molecule: ribosomal RNA, 510 nt
Filed under: Vibrio parahaemolyticus
Lineage: Bacteria; Pseudomonadati; Pseudomonadota; Gammaproteobacteria; Vibrionales; Vibrionaceae
Description: partial 23S ribosomal RNA
Rfam family: Bacterial large subunit ribosomal RNA
Source: RNAcentral